This 410-nucleotide ribosomal RNA is filed under the name uncultured Comamonas sp. Its description in RNAcentral is "bacterial SSU rRNA". It matches the Rfam family "Bacterial small subunit ribosomal RNA", at positions 468 to 877 of the family's 1533-position model. Lineage: Bacteria; Pseudomonadati; Pseudomonadota; Betaproteobacteria; Burkholderiales; Comamonadaceae. The record is from RNAcentral.
CAUGACGGUACCGUAAGUAAUAAGCACCGGCUAACUACGUGCCAGCAGCCGCGGUAAUACGUAGGGUGCGAGCGUUAAUCGGAAUUACUGGGCGUAAAGCGUGCGCAGGCGGUUAUGUAAGACAGGUGUGAAAUCCCCGAGCUCAACUUGGGAAUUGCACUUGUGACUGCAUAACUAGAGUGCGGCAGAGGGGGAUGGAAUUCCACGUGUAGCAGUGAAAUGCGUAGAUAUGCGGAGGAACACCGAUGGCGAAGGCAAUCCCCUGGGCCUGCACUGACGCUCAUGCACGAAAGCGUGGGGAGCAAACAGGAUUAGAUACCCUGGUAGUCCACGCCCUAAACGAUGUCAACUGGUUGUUGGGAAUUCACUUUCUCUUUAACCAAUCUAACACGUGAAAUUGACCGCCUGGG